GGAAGUAGAGAGGAGACAUUGCUGGAACUGGCAGGAGAGGAGAGAAACCCGCAGAGAUCACAUGACUACAUCAAUGAAGAUGGAGGAGAUCCGGAGUCUCAUGACUGAGAGAAUACUAAACCUCACCCUGGAGAUCAUCUACCUGCUGACCGGAGAGAGAUUUCCUCUUGUGAAGUCAGGUGAUCAUAUGACCAUC
Rana temporaria (common frog) is the source of this 196-nucleotide long non-coding RNA. RefSeq lists it as uncharacterized. The transcript has 3 exons. The record is from RefSeq and is a predicted model, not a curated record. NCBI's taxonomy places the organism in Eukaryota, Metazoa, Chordata, Amphibia, Anura, Ranidae.